This 440-nucleotide ribosomal RNA is filed under the name uncultured bacterium. RNAcentral's name for it is "bacterial SSU rRNA". It matches the Rfam family "Bacterial small subunit ribosomal RNA", at positions 338 to 795 of the family's 1533-position model. The record is from RNAcentral.
CCUACGGGCGGCUGCAGUGAGGAAUCUUCCACAAUGGACGCAAGUCUGAUGGAGCGACACCGCGUGAAGGAUGAAGGCCUAACGGUUGUAAACUUCUUUUCUGAAGGAGCAUAAUGAGAGUACUUCAGGAAUAAGGGACGGCUAAAUACGUGCCAGCAGCCGCGGUAAUACGUAUGUCCCGAGCGUUACCCGGAAUCACUGGGUGUAAAGGGUUCGUAGGCGGUUAGAAAAGUUGGAUAUGAAAGACCGGAGCUUAACUCCGAGUUUGUGUUCAAAACUGUCUGACUAGAAUCAGGGAGAGGUAAGCGGAAUUCUGUGUGUAGGGGUGCAAUCCGUAGAUACACAGAGGAACACCAAAAGCGAAGGCAGCUUACUGGAACUGAAUUGACGCUCAUGAACGAAAGCGUGGGGAGCGAACAGGAUUAGAUACCCUAGUAGUC